UAUUCCUAAUUUCAUGGUGACUCACCUGCUGUUCGCUGAUGACCUCUCUCUCAUGUCCAAUGACCAUACCAACGUGCAGACCAUGCUCAACAAAUUGAGAGCCUACGCUCGAAGGAAGUCGCUGACUGUCAACACACUUUUAUCUGAGGUGAUGUGCUUCAAUUCCAGGUCUGACAACUUGCCCCCACUUUACUUUGAU
Molecule: long non-coding RNA, 199 nt
Filed under: Dunaliella salina
Lineage: Eukaryota; Viridiplantae; Chlorophyta; Chlorophyceae; Chlamydomonadales; Dunaliellaceae
Description: long non-coding RNA (DSAL_LNC000132)
Source: RNAcentral